AUGGACUUCUGCCCGGCGUGCGGGAUGCUGCUGCAGAUCCAGCCGGCCACCGGCGGCCACCGCCUGCGCCUCUUCUGCCCCACCUGCCCGUACGUCUGCCCCAUCAAAAACAAGAUCGUGAAGAAGGCGAGGCUGGUCAAGAGGGAGGUGGAGUCCGCGGAAUCUGCCCCCAAGACUGACGGUGAGCCCAAGGAAUCGGUCCCCAAGACUGACGGUGAGCCCAAGGCCGAGGGUCAGCUCAAGCAAUCUGCCCCCAAGACUGAGGGUGCAUGA
Molecule: ribosomal RNA, 273 nt
Filed under: Triticum aestivum (bread wheat)
Lineage: Eukaryota; Viridiplantae; Streptophyta; Magnoliopsida; Poales; Poaceae
Description: partial small subunit ribosomal RNA
Source: RNAcentral